CCUACGGGAGGCAGCAGUGAGGAAUAUUGGUCAAUGGACGAGAGUCUGAACCAGCAAAGUAGCGUGAAGGAUGACUGCUCUAUGGGUUGUAAACUUCUUUUAUAUGGGAGUAAAAUGUUCCACGUGUGGGAUUUUGUAUGUACCAUAUGAAUAAGGAUCGGCUAACUCCGUGCCAGCAGCCGCGGUAAUACGGAGGAUCCGAGCGUUAUCCGGAUUUAUUGGGUUUAAAGGGAGCGUAGGUGGAUUGUUAAGUCAGUUGUGAAAGUUUGCGGCUCAACCGUAAAAUUGCAGUUGAAACUGGCAGUCUUGAGUACAGUAGAGGUAGGCGGAAUUCGUGGUGUAGCGGUGAAAUGCUUAGAUAUCACGAAGAACACCGAUUGCGAAGGCAGUUCACUGGACUGCAACUGACACUGAGGCUCGAAAGUGUGGGUAUCAAACAGGAUUAGAUACCCUUGUAGUC
Molecule: ribosomal RNA, 460 nt
Filed under: uncultured bacterium
Lineage: Bacteria
Description: partial 16S ribosomal RNA
Rfam family: Bacterial small subunit ribosomal RNA
Source: RNAcentral